ACACAUGCAGUCGAGCGGCACACACAGGAGAGCUCUGUCGUCCCCUGUAUGUUGGCGGCUGACGGGUGAGUGACAGAAUGGGUAACCUGCCUGUAUGACUGGGAGGAUUCCGGGAAAAAGGAUCUAAUACCGGAUAAUUCCAUGAACCGCUGGGUUCAGGGAAGAAACACGGUUUGCGCUGUCACUUACAGAUGGACCCGCGGCGCAAUAGCUAGUUGGUGAGGUAACGGCUCGCCACGGCCACUAUGCGUAGCCAACCUGAGAGGGUGAUCGGCCACACUGGGACUGAGACACGACCCAUACUCCAAGCGGAGGCGGCAAUAAGGAAUCUUCGGCAAUGGACCAAAGUCUGACGGACCAACGCCGCGUGAAUGGUGAAGGUUUUCGGAUCCUAUAGCUCUGUUGUUAAGGAAGAACAAGUGCAAAAGUAACUGCUUGCACCUUGACCGUACCUAACCCAAAAGCCACGGCUAACUACGUGCCAGCAGCCGCGGUAAUACGUAGGUGGCAACCGUUGUCCAGAGUUAUUGGGCGUAAAGGGCU
RNAcentral lists this ribosomal RNA (543 nucleotides) under uncultured bacterium. Its description in RNAcentral is "bacterial SSU rRNA". It matches the Rfam family "Bacterial small subunit ribosomal RNA", at positions 51 to 569 of the family's 1533-position model. The record is from RNAcentral.